RNAcentral lists this ribosomal RNA (274 nucleotides) under uncultured bacterium. Its description in RNAcentral is "partial 16S ribosomal RNA". It matches the Rfam family "Bacterial small subunit ribosomal RNA", at positions 523 to 796 of the family's 1533-position model. The record is from RNAcentral.
AUACGGAGGGUGCAAGCGUUAUUCGGAAUCACUGGGCGUAAAGGACGCGUAGGCGGGUUGGCAAGUCAGAUGUGAAAUCCUACAGCUUAACUGUAGAACUGCAUUUGAAACUGCUAACCUAGAGUAUGGGAGGGAGAGAUGGAAUUAGUGGUGUAGGGGUAAAAUCCGUAGAUAUCACUAGGAAUACCGAAAGCGAAGGCGAUCUCCUGGAACAUAACUGACGCUAAGGCGUGAAAGCGUGGGGAGCAAACAGGAUUAGAAACCCUAGUAGUCC